RNAcentral lists this long non-coding RNA (312 nucleotides) under Ananas comosus (pineapple). RNAcentral describes it as "long non-coding RNA (ACOM_LNC027165)". The record is from RNAcentral. Lineage: Eukaryota; Viridiplantae; Streptophyta; Magnoliopsida; Poales; Bromeliaceae.
AAAAAAAUAUUAAGUUGAUUAAUUUUGUGAUUUCCUUAGGAUUUGAAAUAGCCUAAUAUAUAAUAGGACUAAAUUUCUUAAACCAAUUAUAGCAUCUUGGGCGAUGAUUAAGCCCAAAAAAUUAAAAAGGCUAAGAGUAUUAAGACUAGAGUAAUUCUAGAUUGUGUAGCCUUUCUUGAAAAACGGAGGGUCACAAUUGGUAUCAGAAUAAAUCACCAGCCUCAAGUGUGAGAUGAGUCUCAGUUGAGUCAGUAUUUGAAUCAUAGGCUAAGUCAAAAUUUGAAAAUGAUAAGUUAAGUCGGGUCUAAAUAA